GUAAUGUUUUUGCCCUAUCAUAGAUUUGAAAUACUCAUUUUUAUAUAGUUUUAUAGUAAUUGUGUUAAGCUCAUUCAGUGCUAGUGAAAUUUCAUCAGAAUUAUUCUAGAUUCGAUAUAUUUAGUAGUAAUUGCUAUAUUUAGAUUGAUCUCUUUGUUCUCAAGGAAACAUGAUAAGUUAAACCACAUGUUGACCUAUUAACCUAAAUUGCUGGUGCAACUGAGCCCUUAUUAUGGUGCCCGGUUGCCCUGUAACUGCUUAGUCAGCAAUUAUUUGCCCUAGUAAAGUUUAUAUAAUGGUGCCCUAGAGCCCUUCUAAAAUGAUUACUCAGCAAUAAUAUGCCCUAGUAGGGCAUAUCUUUAUGUUAGUUAUGUAACUGGGCAGAGUAUGGUAUAAAAGGAAAGAGAGAGUUAGUGCGGGAGGAGAGAGAGAAAUAGAGAGUCCGAUUAGUGGUUGUUCGUUAUAUCUACUAU
This 473-nucleotide long non-coding RNA is filed under the name Mytilus galloprovincialis (Mediterranean mussel). Lineage: Eukaryota; Metazoa; Mollusca; Bivalvia; Mytilida; Mytilidae. The record is from RNAcentral.